CACGAAACUUGCCCCGAGAUGAGUUCUCCCUGAGACUUUAAGUCUCCUGAAGGAACGUUAAAGACGAUGACGUUGAUAGGCCGGGUGUGUAAGCGCAGCGAUGCGUUGAGCUAACCGGUACUAAUGAACCGUGAGGCUUAACCUUAC
RNAcentral lists this ribosomal RNA (147 nucleotides) under Klebsiella pneumoniae subsp. pneumoniae KPNIH2. RNAcentral describes it as "partial 23S ribosomal RNA". It matches the Rfam family "Bacterial large subunit ribosomal RNA", at positions 2786 to 2925 of the family's 2925-position model. Lineage: Bacteria; Pseudomonadati; Pseudomonadota; Gammaproteobacteria; Enterobacterales; Enterobacteriaceae. The record is from RNAcentral.